RNAcentral lists this ribosomal RNA (498 nucleotides) under uncultured bacterium. Its description in RNAcentral is "partial 16S ribosomal RNA". It matches the Rfam family "Bacterial small subunit ribosomal RNA", at positions 28 to 523 of the family's 1533-position model. The record is from RNAcentral.
GAUGAACGCUAGCGGCAGGCCUAAUACAUGCAAGUCGAACGAGAUUAUCCAGCUUGCUGGAUAUGAAAGUGGCGCACGGGUGCGUAACGCGUAUGCAACCUACCUUAAUCAGGGGGAUAGCCCGGAGAAAUCCGGAUUAACACCGCAUAAAAUCACAGGAUAGCAUUAUCCAAUGAUCAAAUAUUAAUAGGAUUAAGAUGGGCAUGCGUGUCAUUAGCUAGUUGGCGGGGUAACGGCCCACCAAGGCGACGAUGACUAGGGGCUCUGAGAGGAGAAUCCCCCACACUGGUACUGAGACACGGACCAGACUCCUACGGGAGGCAGCAGUAAGGAAUAUUGGUCAAUGGAGGCAACUCUGAACCAGCCAUGCCGCGUGCAGGAAGACUGCCCUAUGGGUUGUAAACUGCUUUUAUACCGGAAUAAACCUCUAUUCGUGAAUGGAGCUGAAUGUACGGUAAGAAUAAGGAUCGGCUAACUCCGCGCCAGCAGCCGCCGUAA